GACGAACGCUGGCGGCGUGCUUAACACAUGCAAGUCGAACGGAAAGGCCCUGCUUGCAGGGUACUCGAGUGGCGAACGGGUGAGUAACACGUGGGUGAUCUGCCCUGCACUUCGGGAUAAGCCUUGGAAACUGGGUCUAAUACCGGAUAGGAGCCAUUUUUAGUGUGAUGGUUGGAAAGUUUUUUCGGUGUAGGGUGAGCUCGCGGCCUAUCAGCUUGUUGGUGGGGUAAUGGCCUACCAAGGCGGCGACGGGUAGCCGGCCUGAGAGGGUGGACGGCCACAUUGGGACUGAGAUACGGCCCAGACUCCUACGGGAGGCAGCAGUGGGGAAUAUUGCACAAUGGGCGCAAGCCUGAUGCAGCGACGCCGCGUGGGGGAUGACGGCCUUCGGGUUGUAAACUCCUUUCGCUAGGGACGAAGCUUUUUGUGACGGUACCUAGAUAAGAAGCACCGGCUAACUACGUG
Molecule: ribosomal RNA, 465 nt
Filed under: uncultured bacterium
Lineage: Bacteria
Description: partial 16S ribosomal RNA
Rfam family: Bacterial small subunit ribosomal RNA
Source: RNAcentral